GACCCUACGGGGGGCAGCAGUGAGGAAUAUUGGUCAAUGGCCGGAAGGCUGAACCAGCCAAGUCGCGUGAGGGACGACUGCCCUAUGGGUUGUAAACCUCUUUUAUAAGGGAAGAAUAAAUGCUACGUGUAGCAUGAUGCCUGUACCUUAUGAAUAAGCAUCGGCUAACUCCGUGCCAGCAGCCGCGGUAAUACGGAGGAUGCGAGCGUUAUCCGGAUUUAUUGGGUUUAAAGGGUGCGUAGGCCGAAGAUUAAGUCAGUGGUAAAAUUGCGAGGCUCAACCUCGUAUCGCCAUUGAAACUGGUU
RNAcentral lists this ribosomal RNA (305 nucleotides) under uncultured bacterium. RNAcentral's name for it is "bacterial SSU rRNA". It matches the Rfam family "Bacterial small subunit ribosomal RNA", at positions 334 to 638 of the family's 1533-position model. The record is from RNAcentral.